AAACGGUCUCGGCUAAUAUCCGUGACAANUGACGGUACCGGAAGAAGAAGCACCGGCUAACUACGUGCCAGCAGCCGCGGUAAUACGUAGGGUGCGAGCGUUAAUCGGAAUUACUGGGCGUAAAGCGUGCGCAGGCGGUUUUGUAAGUCAGAUGUGAAAUCCCCGGGCUUAACCUGGGAACUGCNUUUGAAACUGCAAGGCUAGAGUGCGGCAGAGGGGGNUGGAAUUCCCCGUGUAGCAGUGAAAUGCGUAGAUAUGNGGAGGAACACCGAUGGCGAAGGCANCCCCCUGGGNUANCACUGACGCUCAGGCACGAAAGCGUGGGGAGCAAACAGGAUUAGAUACCCUGGUAGUCCACGCCCUAAACGAUGUCAACUAGUUGU
RNAcentral lists this ribosomal RNA (383 nucleotides) under uncultured Nitrosospira sp. RNAcentral describes it as "bacterial SSU rRNA". It matches the Rfam family "Bacterial small subunit ribosomal RNA", at positions 448 to 823 of the family's 1533-position model. Lineage: Bacteria; Pseudomonadati; Pseudomonadota; Betaproteobacteria; Nitrosomonadales; Nitrosomonadaceae. The record is from RNAcentral.